GCGCAACUGACGCUCAUGCUCGAAAGUGCGGGUAUCGAACAGGAUUAGAUACCCUGGUAGUCCGCACGGUAAACGAUGGAUGCCCGCUAUUUGUCCAUUAGGAUAAGUGGCCAAGUGAAAACGUUAAGCAUCCCACCUGGGGAGUACGCCGGCAACGGUGAAACUCAAAGGAAUUGACGGGGGCCCGCACAAGCGGAGGAACAUGUGGUUUAAUUCGAUGAUACGCGAGGAACCUUACCCGGGCUUGAAUUGCUGAGGAAAGAUCCAGAGAUGGUGAUGCCCUUCGGGGCCUCAGUGAAGGUGCUGCAUGGUUGUCGUCAGCUCGUGCCGUGAGGUGUCGGCUUAAGUGCCAUAACGAGCGCAACCCCUCUCUUCAGUUGCCAUCAGGUUAAGCUGGGCACUCUGGAGACACUGCCACCGUAAGGUGUGAGGAAGGUGGGGAUGACGUCAAAUCAGCACGGCCCUUACGUCCGGGGCUACACACGUGUUACAAUGGGUGGUACAGAGAGUUGGGUGCCCGCAAGGUCACUCUAAUCAAUAAAUCCAUCCUCAGUUCGGACUGGGGUCUGCAACCCGACCCCACGAAGCCGGAAUCGCUAGU
RNAcentral lists this ribosomal RNA (601 nucleotides) under uncultured bacterium. Its description in RNAcentral is "bacterial SSU rRNA". It matches the Rfam family "Bacterial small subunit ribosomal RNA", at positions 734 to 1339 of the family's 1533-position model. The record is from RNAcentral.